Molecule: ribosomal RNA, 275 nt
Filed under: uncultured Ascomycota
Lineage: Eukaryota; Fungi; Ascomycota
Description: partial 18S ribosomal RNA
Rfam family: Eukaryotic small subunit ribosomal RNA
Source: RNAcentral
UUGGAGGGCAAGUCUGGUGCCAGCAGCCGCGGUAAUUCCAGCUCCAAUAGCGUAUAUUAAAGUUGUUGCAGUUAAAAAGCUCGUAGUUGAACUUUGGGCCUGGCUGAUCUGUCCUCCUAAUCGAGCGCACGGAUUCGGUCGGGCCUUUCCUCCUGGGGAACCCGAUGCCCUUCAGUGGGCGUCGUGGGGAACCAGGACUUUUACCUUGAAAAAAUUAGAGUGUUCAAAGCAGGCCUUUGCUCGAAUACAUUAGCAUGGAAUAAUAGAAUAGGACA